RNAcentral lists this ribosomal RNA (322 nucleotides) under uncultured eukaryote. Its description in RNAcentral is "partial 18S ribosomal RNA". It matches the Rfam family "Eukaryotic small subunit ribosomal RNA", at positions 1470 to 1796 of the family's 1831-position model. The record is from RNAcentral.
CCCUUAGAUGUUCUGGGCCGCACGCGUGCUACACUGAGUGGAUCAGCGGGUCAGGUUGCGCGAAAGUGUUUCCUAAUCUUGAAAUCCGCUCGUGAUGGGGAUUGGCGGUUGCAAUUUUCCGUCAUGAACGAGGAAUACCUUGUAAGCGCGGGUCAUCAUCCCGCGCUGAAUACGUCCCUGCCCUUUGUACACACCGCCCGUCGCUCCUACCGAUUGAGUGGUCCGGUGAGGCUUUGGGAUCUGAGCGGAAAGAGCGUUUCGCUGUUUCUGCUCGGAAAACUCAGUCGAACCUUAUCAUUUAGAGGAAGGAGAAGUCGUAACA